RNAcentral lists this ribosomal RNA (253 nucleotides) under uncultured bacterium. RNAcentral describes it as "partial 16S ribosomal RNA". It matches the Rfam family "Bacterial small subunit ribosomal RNA", at positions 524 to 776 of the family's 1533-position model. The record is from RNAcentral.
UACGUAGGGUGCGAGCGUUGUCCGGAAUUAUUGGGCGUAAAGAGCUCGUAGGCGGUUUGUCGCGUCGACUGUGAAAACCUACAGCUUAACUGUGGGCUUGCAGUCGAUACGGGCAGACUUGAGUUCGGUAGGGGAGACUGGAAUUCCUGGUGUAGCGGUGAAAUGCGCAGAUAUCAGGAGGAACACCGGUGGCGAAGGCGGGUCUCCGGGCCGAUACUGACGCUGAGGAGCGAAAGCGUGGGGAGCGAACAGG